Molecule: ribosomal RNA, 489 nt
Filed under: uncultured bacterium
Lineage: Bacteria
Description: partial 16S ribosomal RNA
Rfam family: Bacterial small subunit ribosomal RNA
Source: RNAcentral
GAUGAACGCUAGCGGCAGGCUUAAUACAUGCAAGUCGUGGGGCAGCAGGACUGUAUCAAUACAGUGGCUGGCGACCGGCACGCGGGUGCAACACACGUACGCAACAUACCCUGAACUGGGGGAUAUCCCGGGGAAAGCCGGAUUAAUAGCCCGUAAUAUAAUGGAGUGUCAUCCCUUUGUUAUUAAAGCUCCUGCUGUUCGGGAUGGGCGUGCGGCUGCUUAGGUAGUUGGUUGAGGUAAUGGCUCCCCAAGCAUACGAUCAUUAACUGGUGUGAGAGCACGCCCAGUCACACGGGAACUGGGACCCGGGCCCCACUCCUACGGGAGGGUGCAGUAAGGAAUAGUGGGCACGGGAGGCAACUCUGACCCAGCCAUGCCGCGUGGAGUAGGAAGGCGCUCGGGGUUGUAAACUUCUUUUAUAGGGGACGAAACCUGUGUAUUCUUACGCAGUUGACGGUACCCUAGGAAUAAGCCCCGGCUAACUACGUG